Molecule: non-coding RNA, 73 nt
Organism: Paramuricea clavata
Lineage: Eukaryota; Metazoa; Cnidaria; Anthozoa; Malacalcyonacea; Plexauridae
Source: the annotation of a GenBank genome assembly
GACUCUUUAGCUCGGUUGGUUAGAGCGCUGCACAAGAAUCACAGUGCUGCAGGUUUGAUUCCUGCCAGGGACU